UGGAAGAUUAUUGGUAUGUGUUACAAUACGAGGAAAAUCUAAGUUUUUUUAUUAAUCCAUAUUAGCAAUGCAAAGACAAAAUGGUAAGUCUAUAAUUAUGGAUUUCGAGUCAGUUUGAAUGAAAGUACUUAUAAAAGAAGUAAAAUAAACAAACAUUUUUAGGGGGUUACUCCCUGCACCUCCCCAAUUCUAACCCCCACCCCCCAUUCCACUUUUACCCUUUUCUCUAUUUUUUCUAUUCCAAUUUUAUCCUUUACCAAAAAUUUAUAUUUAGAAAUAUAAUUUUAUACUUUUAUUCUCCCACUCCCACAUAACCUAUUUAUUUUUAUAAUUUAAAUAUUUUAUAAAUUAAUUCUAAAUACAAUAAACUAAUAAAACAAAAAAUUAAAACAAACGUAACAAAAUUAAUUGAAGUUAAAAUAUAAUUACUUUAAAAGGAAAAAAACUAAAAAAAAAAAUAAAACGGAUAGCGACAUCCGUUGACGGUGCCUGUCUUCUUCCCCAACGCGCACAACAGCACAACACAGAGAUGAUACGAUGCAUACUCAAACAGAAACACCAGAGACAACACAGAUACACCACAGAGAUGACAAACUCAAACAGAAACACCAACUACCCAAUCCUACUCUACACAUUGCAUACGUUAAAAAAAAAAAAGAAGAAAUUAGAAGGAACUAACCUGUCAACGCUUG
RNAcentral lists this long non-coding RNA (692 nucleotides) under Vigna radiata. Its description in RNAcentral is "long non-coding RNA (VRAD_LNC013925)". Lineage: Eukaryota; Viridiplantae; Streptophyta; Magnoliopsida; Fabales; Fabaceae. The record is from RNAcentral.